This 253-nucleotide ribosomal RNA is filed under the name uncultured bacterium. Its description in RNAcentral is "partial 16S ribosomal RNA". It matches the Rfam family "Bacterial small subunit ribosomal RNA", at positions 524 to 776 of the family's 1533-position model. The record is from RNAcentral.
UACGUAGGGUGCGAGCGUUGUCCGGAAUUAUUGGGCGUAAAGGGCGCGUAGGCGGCUGUACAAGUCAAAGGUGAAAUCCCUCGGCUCAACUGAGGAACUGCCUUUGAAACUGUACGGCUUGAGGCCGGGAGGGGGUAGCGGAAUUCCCAGUGUAGCGGUGAAAUGCGUAGAUAUUGGGAGGAACACCAGUGGCGAAGGCGGCUACCUGGACCGGUUCUGGCGCUGAUGCGCGAAAGCGUGGGUAGCAAACAGG